This 119-nucleotide ribosomal RNA is filed under the name Pteropus alecto (black flying fox). Lineage: Eukaryota; Metazoa; Chordata; Mammalia; Chiroptera; Pteropodidae. The record is from RNAcentral.
UUCUAGGGCCACGCCACCCUGAACAAGCCCCGUCCCGUCUGAUCUCGGAAGCUAAGCAGGGUGGUGCCUGGUUAGUACUUGGAUGGGAGACCACCUAGGAAGACCGGGUGCUGUAGGCG